UACGAAGGGGGCUAGCGUUGUUCGGAAUUACUGGGCGUAAAGCGCGCGCAGGCGGUCUUCCAAGUCAGUGGUGAAAGCCCGGAGCUCAACUCCGGAAUUGCCAUUGAAACUGUUAGACUUGAGGAUGAGAGAGGUGAGUGGAAUUCCCAGUGUAGAGGUGAAAUUCGUAGAUAUUGGGAAGAACACCGGUGGCGAAGGCGGCUCACUGGCUCAUUACUGACGCUCAGGCGCGAUAGCGUGGGGAUCAAACAGG
This 253-nucleotide ribosomal RNA is filed under the name uncultured bacterium. RNAcentral describes it as "partial 16S ribosomal RNA". It matches the Rfam family "Bacterial small subunit ribosomal RNA", at positions 524 to 776 of the family's 1533-position model. The record is from RNAcentral.